Molecule: non-coding RNA, 7327 nt
Organism: Coturnix japonica (Japanese quail)
Lineage: Eukaryota; Metazoa; Chordata; Aves; Galliformes; Phasianidae
Source: RefSeq, a predicted model, not a curated record
CUUUUUUUCUGUUUUUCAGGGUCCACUCAGUGUCAUCUGAUGAUAACAGAUUUGGGAUAGUGCUUGGAAAGGCAUUGAAGGGGCUUUUGCUCAUGGCCGUGACAGUAGUGCAGAUUGCACAGCUGCCAUGCAGAGGCUGGUGUUGAUUUUCCUACUCUGAAUAAAAUGUAAGGGAAUUCUGGUUCACCCACUGCAGACUCCCUUGGGAUGGAAGAUUGUUUCCAUGUCAGUUUUGGGAAGUAUCACAGCUCCUGGUGAGCUCAGCUGCAUGCACUGGUAAUGCUGCAGCAGGGGCUGGCUGGCCAUCACUGCUCAAGCACUGCAUUUGGUUGAAAUAAUUCCCUGGAAGGACAAACUCAGGGCCAUAACUGAGCUUGGCACAGUGAGAUACCUGGUCCUUUUGCAUAAUGCUGCUUGAUUAUUGUUUCUGAACUGUAGCCUUGAACUAUGCUUUCCUCUUCCAUUUGCCUCUUAACUUGCUGCUUGUGAGACUGGAUGAGAGAGAGCACAGGCGCUCCCUUCUUAGGAGGUACAAUUUCUGCAGCUGCUUCUACUUCUGUCCUAGAAGCUUUGAGGAAAACAAUGUAGAAAGUCUCCUUGUGAUAGCUGUGUGUAAUUUGUGCUACUGCCUCAGGAGUUCAUUUGACAAGCUCAGCCUUUGCUGCAGCAGAGGCUCCAUCUCACAAACCCAAGCAUGUCCAUAUGCUUACAUGUAGAUCUGACACACUGCAAUGUUCCUGCAAUUAACUUCACUGUUAAGAUAAAGCAAGUUAGUACCCUUUAAUUUGGUAUAUCUGACUUUGACUAUUAUCAAAAAUUUAGUGUGUUAGUAAAUAAUAAAGUAGCUUUGUUUUCUUCCCAGCUCCACAGAAUGAAGAGAUGGGGAGAGGGUGAGGGGAAACAAGAGCAUUAAUUUUUAAUCUCUUUUUUUUUUUGUCCAGCCUGAUGGGGAACAGAAAGGGAUGAAUCCAGGGAGCUCAGUCAAGAAACAAUGCUUUUCCUGCAUAUUUUUAUGCAUGCUUCUCCUGCACUGGGUAUGAGGAACAUACAUAGUGCUGAGGCUGGGGAUCUGGCUGAGACAGGCAGCAGGGCUUCCACUUGCACUUUGCAGCAGAAAGUCCCCAUUUUCCAGACUUGCCUCUUGCUCUUUAACACAUCCAAGUUCAAACAACCUCAACCAGGCUUAGCAAAAGGAGAGUGAGUUACAUCUUGUUCCAGGGGUGAAAAAUGAUUUUUCCUAUGUUCUUCUGGCCCUGACUGUGGCCAGUCAGAAAAGCCAGUGUCCCUCUGUGAGUUCUGCCACAGCUGCUGUCUGAAGGCCAUAUCUAUGACUCUGAUUUUUGCUGGGCUUUAUCUGCUUUGACCACCUUUGAAUCAGUCUGUGCAAGUAGUAUAAAGAGUAAACAGGGAUAUUAUACAUUGAUUUUUAUAUCAAAUCCAGUACUACCUCAAGUAGAGAAGGCUUUUUAUUAUUAUGAAACUGUAAUUUUGAAAUAACCUAUUGGGCUGGUGUUGAAAUUCGGUUGGUAUUGGUCUGAAUCCUGACAUCUGGUCAUAGAGAGGUGGGUCAUGGAUGCUGAUGCCCAGAGCCUGAGAGAAGUGUUUCACCACGUGGGACAGGGAACCCGAAUCUUGCUGUUAGUGCUGUGCUUGGAGCAGGCAGCUCGUAGAGGUAGGGCUUGAGCAUAUUCAUUGCUUUCAUGUGGCCAUGAUCCAUAUCCAUGAGUUCCAUAUCCAAGUUAGCAGUGGUGAGUUCUCCUGUAUGGGUCCUCUCGGGGCUUUGCUGUAUGAGACUGACAUAGGAAGCAGGCACAUGCUGCCAUGUGGGGAAGUCCUGAAUCUGUGCCUACCACCAGCAUGGUUAAAAGAAGAGCCAGUAAAUAAAUAUAUAUUUUAUUAAGAAAAAAGGCUGGGUGAGGUCAGCGCAGUGGCAGCCCUGGUGCAGCUUCCUGCUUUGUGCAGGCACUGCAGUCUGUGAAACUGGGCUUUUUAUCCUCUCUUAGAAGUUAUUUUGGCUCUGCUAGAAAACAGGUCUUUUAAAGAAGAAACGAAAAGAGUGAAGGAGCAACCGUGAGAAUGAUAAUGAGUUUCAUAUUCCACAAAGAUCAAAGUCUGAUAGACUUAAAAAAACCAUCAGGUACCGGAACAUUUCAGGUAUUUAAAGAUGAUGCAGCUGUAGUUCUGUUUGGAGACAGUCUAAUUUCUUUGUAACCAAAACAUCAGCUCCUGUUUGAAGCAUUUUGUCCAAAGUAUAAAGAUGUUUCCCACUCUGGCAAUUUCCCAUAAGCUGCUGUUUGAAUUGCUCAGUAGCAAUACACUGUGCACUGCUGCUCGCUUUUCAGUUUGUACGAGCGGGCAUCUGCAUUUCCUUCUGCCCACUGCCUCUACAAAUUGCUUUCCCUGUAAAUCAAAGUGAAAUCUGAGCAGCGAUUUUUCUGAUUCUGUUUACAGCCCUGAGGUUUGUGGCCCUUUCUGGAUGUCACACUUGCAAUGUCUUUCCCAUGAAGAAUGCAGAAGUGCUUGUCUAUAGCCACAGGGAGCUGCCAACAAUAUGUGCGCAUAUAUAGAUAUGUGUAUAUGUAUAUUCACACAUAUAUUCCCUCUCCUAUUGGUAAAAAUAAAGAAGAGGUGUACUGCAAGGCUCUAAAAGUAGCCUAAUUUGUAAUUUCCAUAGUUACUUAGUCUUCCUUGUUAUUUCUUUAUGCACUAAUCUGAGCUUGGUAGAAAUUAGAUAAGUCUUUAGAUGAUUUCAGCAAGUUUUAGAUUAUUUCUUCAAAGCAAGAUUUCCUGAAGAGCUGCAGGAUAACCAUUUGUUGUACAGUUAUGGGUGAGGUCAAGCAGAGAAAAUGUAGUGAAGAGAGCACAAGGCAUGGGGCAGAAGGAUGGGGAAAGAGGGAUCCCUGUGGUGUCGUUUACAGAAAUAGGAAAGUAGAUGUCAGUGCUCCACCUGUAAACAUGAUCCAAUCUGAGUGUAUAGGUUAGACAGUAUUUAAUUAGCAGUUGGAAGUGCAUGAAGGACAGAGGCUCUGGGAAAAACCUCCCAGGAAAAGCUUAUUCCUUUUUUCUUCAGUGGAGCGAUUUAUGAGUUGUUGAACCUGUUCCUUUGUGAUGCUUCACAGUUUGUGCGGUUUUAUUGAUUAAAACAAGCUGAUAAAAAUUUAUGCUUGCUUAGUGGAUGGUCCAGACCCUUUCACUUACAGAUAUCAAGGUAAAAUGUAGGGGGAACAGUAUGUGUCUGAGCUUCAGGGAGAGCUAAGAAUACAGCAUACCCAUGCAGCACAAAUCCUGAUUUGUUCUUUCUUGGAAGGAAGUUCUCAGUUCAACAGGUAAUAUUUACUUAUUUUUUUCUAAAAGUAAAAAUACAUUUUUAAUUGCAACCAAUCUAGUUUGAUUGCUUUUAUUUUAGAGCUUCUGAUGAUGAAUCUUGCUGAGAUAAUUGGCUUGAAUAAACUGCCCCUACCUACCUAAAUAAAAGAUGGAAAAAUUGGAUCUAUUCUAAACAUCUGGCUCUUAGGCAGUAGGAAAGCUUCAAGUGAUCCUGAGGCUGAAGUCUAAGAUUAGUACUCAACAUCAGAACUUAUUAGUGCUCUUUUUAUUUUACUAUAGCAAAAUAUGCUAGGGAGGUUUUCACCCUUAUAGUGAUCGGCAGUGCUGUAAAUACAGCCAUCAUCCCCAUUGAGCAAUGAGUAAAGUCUAGAAUAAGUUCUGAAUAUUGUGCAAUUGCCCUCCUCUUCCUAAACUGUUGAUAAUGUGUGUGGGAGACUUGCUGAGGACAAAUACUGCUUAGAGUUUUAGUCUACGAUGACUUGCUGCUGAAGGUUUUAAUUUUGUGGGGGUGUAUUUAUAAGAUUUAAGACCAUUUCUGGAAAUCUAAUCACAGUGCACUAAUACAAUUUUAUUUUACUUUAAAGUUUGAAGGGCUGUCAAGGCAUUUGCAGACUUUUCUCCUUUGCAUAGAAAUUAAUUUACUGUUCCUGACUGAACUGAAGAUGACCACUUCCAGAGAGCCCAAUUCAUGUAACAGUCCUCAUCUCCGUGUGAACAAACAGCUCCAGGUAUUUUCUAAGCAUGUGAAGUACAACUGCUGUUGUGCAAAUGGGAAAUGAGCAGAGGUAUGGCAGCAGAAGCCUCUGUACUCCUGGGCUUGCAGCAUCACCAUGAAGCCACUGGAUGGUCACAACAUGAGGAUGUCCACCCCAGCAACAGGUAUGGCUGCAUCUGGCCUGUCAGCACAGGGGGACACCUGAGAGCAGAGGCUCUCAGGACUGGUGCACCAGGAGGGUAUUUCAGCAGGAUGGCAGUGCAGUUAGGUGGUUGGAAUCUGUCCUUAAAGUUUCUGCUUUGAUGGAUGCUGACCUUAGAGAGAGGGAUUGAGCUGUUGGAUACACAUGGUUCCGGCUCCUUUGCUUCUUUUAUUUUUUUUAACCCAAAUGGGUAAAAUGCUGGUGCCUCUUACAGGACUGAGGUAGCCAGUGUUUGUACACUAUUCAGGCAUACCUUUGAACAGGGGCUGUGAAGCAGGGCUUGAAGCUCACUCUUUUAGUCCCAUUCAAAAUCUGUCUAUUCCUCUCGGUUCUGUGUCAGUCACUUGCAUUCAAUUUGUGCCUCAAAGACCAAAUUGCUGAGUGAAGGGCUGGAGAGCCUGGCUUAGACAGUCAUAUGUGUCUGUGACUAAGCUGCGUGCGAAGAACUGAAAUAAAUGAUUUUUUAAUUUGAUGUUCUUCCUGUUUGAAUUCUGAGAAUCAUUUUCCUCUUUAUUCACCUUUGGUUUUUUUUGUGUCCUUUCAGAGACCAGAUGAAUAAAGAGCUGUGGCAAAUAUUGAAGGUUUAGAAUUCAGAAGGUGGUUCAUAAAAGUAUCUCUCUGAGUUUAUAAAUUGUAUUGUACAUGUGAAAGAUUUUGGUCUAAUGACUUGAAACAAAUGGAAGUCUGAGGUGUUUUUCAAGGAGUGUUCGUUUUCUCUGUGAACAACAAAAUAGCUGAACACAGUACUGUUGCUUUCGGCAGCAGCUAAAUACACUGAAAGGAGAACAAUUGAUUGAGAACCCCACAUGUUCCAUGUCCUCCUUCAGAUCAAUGAAAGAACUGCUGAAGAUGUCAUUAUUAACUUCAAGUAGGUAUACUGCUCUUCCAGAAAAAGGUGGUUUAUGCAGACUGAAUUAUUUCUGUGAUGUUCUUUUCUUCCAACUAACUUAGCCAGCUCCUUUGUACAUUACCAUCAUUCAUUGGAAUGGGUGGCCAGUGUCCAGCAGCUACAGCUGGAGAAGAGGCAAAACCAUCAUGGCUGUGGCAUCUGCACGUGUGACCACUGCCCAUCUGAGCACUGAGUAACACCCCAGUGUCACAAACAGCUGCAACUAUGUGUGAAUGUGUUUAACAUCGGAUCUACAUCAAUUGCACAGGUUCUGUUUCAUACAGCAGACUGUAAGUAAAAUCAACAGUUCUGAUUUGUGUUAGGAGUUGAGAGCUGCUGCAAACUGGAUGUUUUAACAUUCCUUUCCUCCCACGGUUGUAGAAUUGUUUGAGUGGGAAGAGACCCUUAAAAGCCAUCAGUUCUGUUUCUUUUAAUGCACAAGGACGCCCACAGCUCUACCAGUGCUCAGAGCCCAUCCCCUGACUGUGGGCAUCUGCAGGAAUGGGGCACCCACCCCUCUGGAGAACUCUGCUGGCACUUCACUGCUCCUAUGGUAAACAUCUUUUUCCUUAUACAAUCUAAAUCUUUCCUCUCUUAUCUUCGAGGCAAUCUCAGUGCAGUCCUUUCAAAUACACUGGAAUAGCAUUUCACAUUCAUUCGCCACCUGGGGUUAAAGCCCGCACUAUCCAUUAAAUGCGCACAUACCCUUGACCCAACGCUUUGUUUCUGGUAUGAAACCACAAGCACAGUGAUCAGCUGUGUCUGCUCCUAAUGUAUGAAGCGUUUGAGUUGAUUACAUGCUUUAAAAAACAAAACAAAACUGGCAAAUUGUUUUGAAGUGUGCACUUAUGUGAGACACAGAAAAUACAUCCUCAAGAACAGGUUGACAUUGCACAAGAAGUGAGCAGGAAGGAGAGUGCUGGCUUCUGAGAGAGGUAACAAAUGGGGUAAUGGUAUUCACGUGUUAUUUCUUACAUUUUUCUACAGACAGAGCAUGUCCACAACAAGGAGAUAAUAAAUCAAGCUUUUUUGUUGUUGUUUUGUUUUGUUUUUUUGUUUUGUAGUUGGGCACGAGCACAUCAGAGAAAAACGUAAAGAAACUUGACCUCUGUGUUCCCUGUCCCAGCUUAGAUGUUGCUGUGGCCUGUGCAUCAUCAGCACCACCCAAUGGUGCCUGUUCUUCUUUCUUUCCCUUUUUUCUGCUGCUCCCACAAAGUUCCAUGUCACUGAACGCAUCUUGUCCAUAGUGCUGAUGUCUUUUCUUCCUGAGGACAACAGCAAAGUGGUCCUAUUCUUCCAAUGCUUCGGUCCCAGCUGAGAGAUUCCAGCCUAUUUCUUGGACCAUGGUCUGUGAUUCUAUUUAGUUAUGGAUGCUGCAGUCACUUCCCUACUGCUUGUGAUGCUCCUGCCAGCCCUCUGCAGCCUCUCCAAUGAAACAGCUUCUGUGAUUCUUCCCUUCACCUGUUUCCACCAUUAAUGGAAGUCUAUUCUUUCCCUGAUCCGCUGAUGAGUUAUUUCCUUUGAGGAAUUAAGAUCAAGAGCACAGCUCAUGGAAUGUGGCAGUCUGCUUUCUGUCCCGAGGAGCUGUGUGUGAGUAGUGCAUUGUCAGGAUUUAAUUGCAGCUUAUUCUUAGCCUCGUCUCAGCAGCUCUCAGGAUUUUGAUUGAAGGCAGAGGUAAGAGGGCAUCAGGGAAGGCAGACAAAUGAAGUCUCUACAUGCAAAACAGAGAGAGCUCGAUAACCCUCAGAAAGCACAAAUCCCCCUGUGUGGAAUUCCUUUUAUUUAUUUUUUUUAAGGUUGUCACAGCACAAUUGAUACCAAAUUCAUUUUUUUGCACAGGUCUCAACUUAACUCUCCUGGCUGAUAAAAUCAUGAAACGAGAUCAAACCAGAUUUUCAUCACGGCAACCUUUAAAAGAGGAUGAGAAAGAGGAUCCGUAUGGGAAUUGCUGCAGGAGGAAGCUGUAACUUGGCAUGGUGGAUGAAUGCAGCGUAAUCAAAUGCUAUGAACAAAAUUAUCAUUAAUAAAGAGAGAUUUGACACUUGGCUGAAUCAGAGUGCACAAGUAAUAAUAAACUGGAGGAAUGAAAGCUGAUGUAUUGAGCAGAUUCUCCUGGAAAACACAGGAAAAAAUAGAGGAGUAUGGAGGCAACAAGGCUGGGGCAAGGAGGAGGAACAAAAAGCAGGUGAGGAGA